GCACUCCCGGGGCGUCUCUAUCUCAUCGCGAGAGGAGGCGCACCUAGAGCGUACACGCUGAUACCCGAAAGAUGGUGAACUAUGCCUGGCCAGGACGAAGCCAGGGGAAACCCUGGUGGAGGUCCGCAGCGAUUCUGACGUGCAAAUCGAUCGUCGGAGCUGGGUUUAGGGGCGAAAGACCAAUCGAACCAUCUAGUAGCUGGUUCCCUCUGAAGUUUCCCUCAGGAUAGCUUGCGCUCGGAUGAAACGAGUCUCAUCCGGUAGAGCGAAUGAUUAGAGGCCUUGGGGUCGAAACGACCUCAACCUAUUCUCAAACUCCAAAUAGAUGAGAACCCCGGCUUUCUUGAACUCUGUUUAUGAAGCCGGGGGCUCGGAUCAGAGUGCCAAGUGGGCCAAUUUUGGUAAGCAGAACUGGCGCUGUGGGAUGAACCAAACGCGGAGUUAAGGCGCCUCAAUCGACGCUCAUGUGAAACCAUGAAAGGCGUUGGUUGCUUAAGACAGCAG
RNAcentral lists this ribosomal RNA (504 nucleotides) under Phytocoris intricatus. RNAcentral describes it as "partial large subunit ribosomal RNA". It matches the Rfam family "Eukaryotic large subunit ribosomal RNA", at positions 755 to 1243 of the family's 3401-position model. The record is from RNAcentral. Lineage: Eukaryota; Metazoa; Arthropoda; Insecta; Hemiptera; Miridae. RNAcentral also lists the same sequence under 2 other names.